UACGGAAGGCAGCAGUGGGGAAGUAUUGCACAAUGGGCGAAAGCCUGAUGCAGCUAUGCCGCGUGUAUGAAGAAGGCCUUAGGGUUGUAAAGUACUUUCAUCGGGGAGGAAAAAACAAAACUAAUAAUUUUAUUUCUUGACGUUACCCGAAAAAGAAGCACCGGCUAACUCCGUGCCAGCAGCCGCGGUAAUACGGAGGGUGCUAGCGUUAAUCAGAAUUACUGGGCGUAAAGAGCACGUAGGUGGUUUUUUAAGUUCAGAUGUGAAAUCCCUGGGCUUUAACCUAGGAACUGCAUUUUGAAACUGAAAUACUAGAGUAUCGUAGAGGGAGGUAGAAUUCUAGGUGUAGCGGUGAAAUGCGUAGAUAUCUGGAGGAAUACCUGUGGCGAAAGCGGCCUCCUAAACGAAUACUGACACUGAGGGUGCGGAAAGCGUGGGGAGCAAACAGGGAUUAGAUACC
RNAcentral lists this ribosomal RNA (460 nucleotides) under uncultured bacterium. RNAcentral's name for it is "bacterial SSU rRNA". It matches the Rfam family "Bacterial small subunit ribosomal RNA", at positions 340 to 786 of the family's 1533-position model. The record is from RNAcentral.